Molecule: long non-coding RNA, 331 nt
Filed under: Homo sapiens (human)
Lineage: Eukaryota; Metazoa; Chordata; Mammalia; Primates; Hominidae
Description: HSALNT0245991
Source: RNAcentral
CCGAGGAGUCCCUGGAGCUUCCCUGGGACUCUGGAGAGCCGCGUGUGGUCCAGGAGGAGGCGGGAGGACUGUGGCACCCAGCAUCGCUGGAGGCAGAAGUGCCCACCCUGGCGGAGCUCCGGCUCAAGGGAGCCCAGGAGGUCCAGCUGCCUCUCUGCGCCCAGGCUCUGGUGCCACCAUUCCUUGACUCGCCCAGCCUCUCCCCGUGUUUUCCCGUGGGAGGGUUGGUGCUCCCCGCCUUUCUCAUGAGCUGGGUCACGGGAGGAGGGGCGCUCAUCAACCGUGGCUCGUAACCGCCAGGCCAAGCCUGUCAGUGCAGGCAGAAUCUGGG